CCUACGGGCGGCAGCAGUGGGGAAUAUUGGGCAAUGGACGCAAGUCUGACCCAGCAAAGCCGCGUGAAGGAAGAAGGCUCUCGGGUUGUAAACUUCCUUUUAGGGGGAAGAGCAGAAGACGGUACCCCUUGAAUAAGCCAUGGCUAAAUACGUGGCAGCAGCCGCGGUAAUACGGAGGUGGCAAGCGUUGUCCGGAUUUAGUGGGUGUAAAGGGCGUGCAGCCGGAGAGACAAGUCAGAUGUGAAAUCCACGGGCUCAACCCGUGAACUGCAUUUGAAACUGUUUGCCUUGAGUGUCGGAGAGGUAGUCGGAAUUCGUGGUGUAGCGGUGAAAUGCGUAGAUAUAAGGAAGAACACCGGUGGCGAAGGCGGAUUACUGGACGAUAACUGACGGUGAGGCGCGAAAGCGUGGGGAGCAAACAGGAUUAGAUACCCUUGUAGUC
RNAcentral lists this ribosomal RNA (442 nucleotides) under uncultured bacterium. RNAcentral describes it as "partial 16S ribosomal RNA". It matches the Rfam family "Bacterial small subunit ribosomal RNA", at positions 338 to 795 of the family's 1533-position model. The record is from RNAcentral.